Molecule: ribosomal RNA, 253 nt
Filed under: uncultured bacterium
Lineage: Bacteria
Description: partial 16S ribosomal RNA
Rfam family: Bacterial small subunit ribosomal RNA
Source: RNAcentral
UACGAAGGGGGCUAGCGUUGUUCGGAAUUACUGGGCGUAAAGGGCGCGUAGGCGGCGUGUCAAGUCAGGCGUGAAAGCCCCGGGCUCAACCUGGGAACCGCGCUUGAGACUGGCAUGCUCGAGUUCGGGAGAGGAUGGUGGAAUUCCCAGUGUAGAGGUGAAAUGCGCAGAUAUCAGGAGGAACACCGGUGGCGAAGGCGGCCUUCUGGGCCUGUUCUGACGCUGAGGAGCGAAAGCGUGGGGAGCAAACAGG